GUCUACGGCCAUACUGCCCACCCAAACUCCUGUGAUCUUAGAAGCUAAGCAGGGCAGGGCCUGAUUAGUAUUUGGAUGAGAGAAACAGCUCCUGACUUGUUGUUAAAAUCUGGAUACAGACU
Molecule: ribosomal RNA, 122 nt
Organism: Aotus nancymaae (Ma's night monkey)
Lineage: Eukaryota; Metazoa; Chordata; Mammalia; Primates; Aotidae
Source: Ensembl